This 106-nucleotide small nuclear RNA is filed under the name Phascolarctos cinereus (koala). The record is from RNAcentral. Lineage: Eukaryota; Metazoa; Chordata; Mammalia; Diprotodontia; Phascolarctidae.
GUGCUUACUUCAGGAGCACAUAUACUAAAAUUGAAAUGAUACACAGAGAUUAGCAUGGCCCCUGCGCAAGGAUGAUAUGCAAAUUUGGGAAGUAGUCCUUAUUUAA